This 245-nucleotide ribosomal RNA is filed under the name uncultured bacterium. RNAcentral's name for it is "partial small subunit ribosomal RNA". It matches the Rfam family "Bacterial small subunit ribosomal RNA", at positions 26 to 286 of the family's 1533-position model. The record is from RNAcentral.
AGAAUCAACGCUGGCGGCGUGCCUAACACAUGCAAGUCGAACGAGAAAGUGGAGCAAUCCAUGAGUAAAGUGGCGCACGGGUGAGUAACACGUGACUAACCUACCCUUGAGUGGGGAAUAACCUAGGGAAACCUGGGCUAAUACCGCAUAACACCUACGGGUCAAAGGAGCAAUUCGCUUAAGGAGGGGUCGCGGCAGAUUAGCUAGUUGGCGGGGUAACGGCCCACCAAGGCGAAGAUCGGUAU